Parapedobacter luteus is the source of this 403-nucleotide non-coding RNA. The record is from Rfam. Lineage: Bacteria; Pseudomonadati; Bacteroidota; Sphingobacteriia; Sphingobacteriales; Sphingobacteriaceae.
UAGCAAACCUGUUCUAUCGCUCCGGCCGGAUGCCGGGGAGGAAAGUCCGGACAACGUAGAGCACCCCGCUUCCUAACGGGAAGGGUUUCGGCGAUGGCCGGAAUACGGAAAGUGCCACAGAAAAAAAACCGCCUGUGUUUCGGCAUAGGUAAGGGUGAAAACGUGGGGUAAGAGCCCACGGCUUUGCGUGGUGACACGCAUCGCGGUAAACCCCGGGGGUUGAAAGGCCAAAUAGGUUGCGGAGAUUAGGAGGUUGCUCGCUUCCAUCCCUCAUGGGAACCGCAACGGGUAGGCCGCUGGAGCUUGCCAGUGAUGGCAAGCCUAGAUAAAUGAUAGAAGUCCCAUGCACCUGCUGUAGCAGGCUAUUGGGAUACAGAAUCCGGCUUACAGGGUUUGCUUUUUU